RNAcentral lists this ribosomal RNA (502 nucleotides) under uncultured bacterium. RNAcentral describes it as "partial 16S ribosomal RNA". It matches the Rfam family "Bacterial small subunit ribosomal RNA", at positions 30 to 523 of the family's 1533-position model. The record is from RNAcentral.
AUUGAACGCUGGCGGCAGGCUUAACACACGCAAGUCGAGCGGGGUGAUGGUGCUUGCACUAUCACUUAGCGGCGGACGGGUGAGUAAUGCUUAGGAAUCUGCCUAUUAGUGGGGGACAACAUCUCGAAAGGGAUGCUAAUACCGCAUACGUCCUACGGGAGAAAGCAGGGGAUCUUUAUGACCUUGCGCUAAUAGAUGAGCCUAAGUCGGAUUAGCUAGUUGGUGGGGUAAAGGCCUACCAAGGCGACGAUCUGUAGCGGGUCUGAGAGGAUGAUCCGCCACACUGGGACUGAGACACGGCCCAGACUCCUACGGGAGGCAGCAGUGGGGAAUAUUGGACAAUGGGGGGAACCCUGAUCCAGCCAUGCCGCGUGUGUGAAGAAGGCCUUAUGGUUGUAAAGCACUUUAAGCGAGGAGGAGGCUCUUUUGGUUAAUACCCAGAAUGAGUGGACGUUACUCGCAGAAUAAGCACCGGCUAACUCUGUGCCAGCCGCCGCGGUAA